This 1137-nucleotide ribosomal RNA is filed under the name Flavobacterium sp. RNAcentral's name for it is "bacterial SSU rRNA". It matches the Rfam family "Bacterial small subunit ribosomal RNA", at positions 66 to 1214 of the family's 1533-position model. The record is from RNAcentral. Lineage: Bacteria; Pseudomonadati; Bacteroidota; Flavobacteriia; Flavobacteriales; Flavobacteriaceae.
GGUAUAGUUCUUCGGAACUAGAGACCGGCGCACGGGUGCGUAACGCGUAUGCAAUCUACCUUUUACAGAGGGAUAGCCCAGAGAAAUUUGGAUUAAUACCUCAUAGCAUAGCAAUCUCGCAUGAGAUCACUAUUAAAGUCACAACGGUAAAAGAUGAGCAUGCGUCCCAUUAGCUAGUUGGUAAGGUAACGGCUUACCAAGGCUACGAUGGGUAGGGGUCCUGAGAGGGAGAUCCCCCACACUGGUACUGAGACACGGACCAGACUCCUACGGGAGGCAGCAGUGAGGAAUAUUGGACAAUGGGCGCAAGCCUGAUCCAGCCAUGCCGCGUGCAGGAUGACGGUCCUAUGGAUUGUAAACUGCUUUUAUACGAGAAGAAACACUCCGACGUGUCGGAGCUUGACGGUAUCGUAAGAAUAAGGAUCGGCUAACUCCGUGCCAGCAGCCGCGGUAAUACGGAGGAUCCAAGCGUUAUCCGGAAUCAUUGGGUUUAAAGGGUCCGUAGGCGGUUUAGUAAGUCAGUGGUGAAAGCCCAUCGCUCAACGGUGGAACGGCCAUUGAUACUGCUAAACUUGAAUUAUUAGGAAGUAACUAGAAUAUGUAGUGUAGCGGUGAAAUGCUUAGAGAUUACAUGGAAUACCAAUUGCGAAGGCAGGUUACUACUAAUGGAUUGACGCUGAUGGACGAAAGCGUGGGUAGCGAACAGGAUUAGAUACCCUGGUAGUCCACGCCGUAAACGAUGGAUACUAGCUGUUGGGAGCAAUCUCAGUGGCUAAGCGAAAGUGAUAAGUAUCCCACCUGGGGAGUACGUUCGCAAGAAUGAAACUCAAAGGAAUUGACGGGGGCCCGCACAAGCGGUGGAGCAUGUGGUUUAAUUCGAUGAUACGCGAGGAACCUUACCAAGGCUUAAAUGUAGAUUGACCGGUUUGGAAACAGAUCUUUCGCAAGACAAUUUACAAGGUGCUGCAUGGUUGUCGUCAGCUCGUGCCGUGAGGUGUCAGGUUAAGUCCUAUAACGAGCGCAACCCCUGUUGUUAGUUGCCAGCGAGUCAUGUCGGGAACUCUAACAAGACUGCCAGUGCAAACUGUGAGGAAGGUGGGGAUGACGUCAAAUCAUCACGGCCCUUACGCCUUGGGC